UACUGAUCUCGGUUGUCAGUGUUCAUGUCUCCUCUUCACCCACGAGCUCUACUACUGAUAGGGAUUGUUGCUCCCCACUCAUCUCAAUUAAACAAUUCGUAUCGGCAUCAAACCGGAAGUAGUUUCCCUUGUAACGAUGGCCCGAUACGAAUUUAUCAUCGCAAUAAUAGCACAAUCCUCUGGCAGCUCUGGCCUUCUUUUCUUCAUAAGUGGGUGGCUUACGGUAGCCCGGAUUGGGCUUAUUGCUCGGUAGUACUGGAGUGUUUGGAGUUUUCAGCAGUACUGGUGCCGAUGAGUUCGUCAAAUUUGGCCGAUAAUUGCUCCGACUGACCGGUAUCGUCAGUGCCGUCGACCCCUUUCCCAC
Molecule: long non-coding RNA, 364 nt
Filed under: Zostera marina
Lineage: Eukaryota; Viridiplantae; Streptophyta; Magnoliopsida; Alismatales; Zosteraceae
Description: long non-coding RNA (ZMAR_LNC004905)
Source: RNAcentral